Molecule: long non-coding RNA, 2238 nt
Organism: Peromyscus eremicus (cactus mouse)
Lineage: Eukaryota; Metazoa; Chordata; Mammalia; Rodentia; Cricetidae
Exons: 2
Source: RefSeq, a predicted model, not a curated record
CUUGGAAUGUCUCUCAAAAAUUCCCUAGGCAGUAGGCAAUAGAGUGAUAGAUCAAUUUCCAACCUCUGACACAGGCUUGCUUGCCAGCAUCACAAAGGUUGGCUCAUCACUAAUUGUAUUCACUCUUCCAUCCUUACUGACGCUUCCAUUUUGGGAAACUCCUCCAUCAGGUUCUCCAACAGACAAGGAAGGUACUGAAGAUUUUGAUGAAGGAGCCCACAAGUUUGAAACAUUGUCUCUACUGCAGGGCUGCAAUCACUGUGAGUGGCCGUUAACAACUGAUGUUCCUGGAAUUCGACCCAAGUCUACUGAAUCAAAAGCCCUGGUGCUGGUUCAGGAAUCUUCUGUGCACACAGCCUCGUAAGCACUUUUGUGAGUGGACCUCUGCCAGAUGCUGCCAGCUGGUUUUCAGGGACACCCAUUAGAUUUGCUACCUUGGCUGAGUAGGUUUCAUGUUAUACAGAAUUUCGUCACAUUUUCUCAUUCCUAUGUUCUUAAUGUUAUAAAGAUGGAGUGUCUCCUAAAAGAUUUUCCUGAAAUAGAAGACAUGGUUUUUAAAAACUCUUGUUCUUGGGUUUCUCAUCGACUUCUUCUAUCCCUCCCCUACUUUGCACUUCACUUCUUGUCUCUUUUCUGAAAACUUUACUGGCCUGAGUUAGAAACAUAUGGGGCACGCCGAGGAGGAGGGUAAGUGCCAGACAACAAUAAGAUGUGAAGGGAAGCCAACCUCAUUUGGGGGAUUCAUGGAGAAAACCUGAAAGGGAAAACUAACUUACAGGUGGAUUCUCCAGAGGAGAAAUGGCAUACUGCAGAGCUCUUGGGGAGCUCACAGGCAAGGUGUGAUGCUGCCUCCUGAAGAACGGAACACAGAUAUGACUGAUGGAAGAAAGAGAGUGAGAGAUAACCAAAGAUGUGAGUCAAACAAAUCUCAUACAGAGUACAAUCAAAGUAACAGGGGAGGGCAGGCUUUGUGGAGGAAGAAGAGAGUUUUGAGAAGUUGGUUUGACUUCCAGAUGAGUCAAUCAACCAUCCUUCUAUCUUGUGCACAUAGGUAGUAUCUCCAAGAUUUCGUCAGUGUAUCUCCAUUCUGACCACUGCCAUUUCUUAAUGUAUGAGAAAGCACACCUAACUCACCCUCACAAAGAUCAUUAACAUAGUAUAUUCUCCAUUUCUCACUUUCAUGAUUCAUUUACAUGAGUAGAUGUGUCUACUGGAAAUCAAAGGGUUUUGUUUUCUUUUCAUUUUAUUUUCCUCUCAACCUACCUUUACUAGGCACAAAGCACAGUGUGGUUGAGAGAUAUCAUGAAGUCUACUCUUGACCUUCAUGUUCCCUGCUCCACUUACAGAGCCUGAAUGUGAGACUUGUGCAAUGAGGAAAAUGGGUACAGAACUGAAGAAAAAUGAAGGUAGACAAGCCAGUCUUAUUCCUUUGGAUUAAGACCUCACAUUUAAAAGUUCCAGAUAAAAAGACACAAAAGAACCAAGUUCUUUCCAGCAAAGUUUUUGGGCCCUGAGAAUCUGGACUGAAAUGGAAGAAAACACUGGCAGAGGCUGUGAACUAUGUGAAGAGAAAAACUGAUGUGAGUGGUACAAAGUGCAUGGGAGUCAAGAGCAUCCUGAGAUGUGGAAAGAACCCUACAUGGAGAAACCCCAAAGACAGUUUCUUGACCUAUAAAAACUCCUCAUAUCGAGUCUGAGUGUAGAUCCAGUUUCAUCAGUGAAGUAAGUACAGAAUCAGAGGCAGGGGGAAGGUGGGUGCAUGCCUGAUGAAAUACAUGGACAAAACCAGUGACAGGACACAGGCUGCAUGCCAGACAACUGUGCAGCGUUUAGGCAACUAUUAUUUCCUCUACAUUAAACAAAGUCUGACGGAAUACUUGGGAAGAAAGAUAGACCAAUUUCUCUAAUUUAUCUAGAGCUAAAGAGAAAAAGUGGAACUCAUUCGUUUGGUCAUGGGAGAACAAAGUUCAUGCACUCCUUUUCUUUGGCAAAAUCAACUCAAAUGAUUCAUGUCCGGGAGACUUGAAUCCUGGAGAAGAACUUCAAGAAAGGGGAAGUUUCUAAAGAUUUGCGCACACUGAUCAUAAACCUUUCCCCAGUGGAAAAUAAGUUGCCUGGCUUAAGCAGAUCUUCCCCUCACCUAUCCCAUUACUCCAGCCUUGCUUCCCUGCAGUACUCCAAGGAUGCUAGGACUAUAAGAGCAAGAUGGUAAUAAAAUAUUUAGUUCUAGGAGUGGCA